CCUACGGGAGGCAGCAGUGGGGAAUAUUGCACAAUGGGGGAAACCCUGAUGCAGCGACGCCGCGUGAGUGAAGAAGUAAUUCGUUACGUAAAGCUCUAUCAGCAGGGAAGAAAAUGACGGUACCUGAGUCAGAAGCCCCUGCUAACUACGUACCAGCAGCCGCGGUAAUCCGUAGGGGGCCAGCGUUAUCCGGAUUUACUGGGUGUAAAGGUAUCGUAGACGGUGCGGCAAGUCUGGAGUGAAUUGCCGCAGGUUAACUGCGGCACUGCUUUGGAAACUGGCGAACGAGAGGGCGGGAGGGGUAAGCGGAAGUCCUAGUGUAGCGGUGAAAUGCGUAGAUAUUAGGAGGAACACCGGUGGCGAAGGCGGCUUACUGGACCGUAACUGACGUUGAGGCUCGAAAGCGUGGGGAGCAAACAGGAUUAGAUACCCUUGUAGUC
RNAcentral lists this ribosomal RNA (440 nucleotides) under uncultured bacterium. Its description in RNAcentral is "partial 16S ribosomal RNA". It matches the Rfam family "Bacterial small subunit ribosomal RNA", at positions 338 to 795 of the family's 1533-position model. The record is from RNAcentral.